RNAcentral lists this ribosomal RNA (314 nucleotides) under uncultured eukaryote. Its description in RNAcentral is "partial large subunit ribosomal RNA". It matches the Rfam family "Eukaryotic large subunit ribosomal RNA", at positions 40 to 350 of the family's 3401-position model. The record is from RNAcentral.
AUAUCAGUCAGCGGUGGAAAAGAAACCAACUGGGAUACCCUCAGUAAUGGCGAGUGAAGGGGGUAGAGUCCAACCUCAAAGGGUUAAUAACCCGUUGUGGGGUUUGAGGAUUAGGUUUUUUGUUGUUUCUUAAGAUAGUGUUAAGUCCAUUGGAAAGUGGCGCCAUAGAAGGUGAUAGCCCUGUUAACUUUUUAUCUUAAAGCAACAAAGUUACUGGUCUUCUUGAGUCGAGCUGCUUGGGAGUGCAGCUCUAAAUGGGCGGUAAAGGACAUCCAAGACUAAAUACAGAGCAAGAGACCGAUAGCGCACAAGUA